Molecule: long non-coding RNA, 291 nt
Filed under: Nicotiana benthamiana
Lineage: Eukaryota; Viridiplantae; Streptophyta; Magnoliopsida; Solanales; Solanaceae
Description: long non-coding RNA (NBEN_LNC008136)
Source: RNAcentral
UCAUACCUUACAAUUAGGAGUGUUGGCACACCCCUAACUAGCUUGUUAGCCAUAUUGCUAGGAGUUAGGCUCCAUUAAAGGAUCAGGUCCAGACAUGAGCAACAAUUUGGAUACAGUCAUGCUUGAACCUUAACUCAAACACAUAGAAGGGGAUAAAGUUAUGGGGAAAUUCAUAACAACAACAAAUGCAAUGAGAAGAGCAUAUUCAAUACUGAACAUAAACAGCAAAGUACACAAGAUUGUAGAAACUAAGAAGUAAACACAGAGGGAUAAGGCUGAAAACAAAGUUAG